GAGUUUGAUCUUGGCUCAGAGCGAACGCUGGCGGCAGGCUUAACACAUGCAAGUCGAACGGGCACUUCGGUGCUAGUGGCAGACGGGUGAGUAACACGUGGGAACGUACCUUUCGGUUCGGAAUAAUUCAGGGAAACUUGGACUAAUACCGGAUACGCCCUUCGGGGAAAGAUUUAUCGCCGAUAGAUCGGCCCGCGUCUGAUUAGCUAGUUGGUGAGGGUAAUGGCUCACCAAGGCGACGAUCAGUAGCUGGUCUGAGAGGAUGAUCAGCCACACUGGGACUGAGACACGGCCCAGACUCCUAC
Molecule: ribosomal RNA, 305 nt
Filed under: uncultured Alphaproteobacteria bacterium
Lineage: Bacteria; Pseudomonadati; Pseudomonadota; Alphaproteobacteria
Description: bacterial SSU rRNA
Rfam family: Bacterial small subunit ribosomal RNA
Source: RNAcentral